Molecule: ribosomal RNA, 320 nt
Filed under: uncultured bacterium
Lineage: Bacteria
Description: bacterial SSU rRNA
Rfam family: Bacterial small subunit ribosomal RNA
Source: RNAcentral
ACUCCUACGGGAGGCAGCAGUGGGGAAUAUUGCACAAUGGGGGAAACCCUGAUGCAGCCAUGCCGCGUGUGUGAAGGUAGGCCUUCGGGUUGUAAAGCACUUUCAGUNGGGAGGAAGGUAGUGUAGUUAACACCUGCACUAUUUGACGUUACCUACAGGAAAGAACACCGGCUAACUCCGUGCCAGCAGCCGCGGUAAUACGGAGGGUGCGAGCGUUAAUCGGAAUUACUGGGCGUAAAGCGCAUGCAGGCGGCCUGUUAAGUCAGAUGUGAAAGCCCGGGGCUUAACCUCGGAAUUUGGCCAUUUUUGAAAAACGGGAG